AGUGAACGCUGGCGGCGUGCCUAAUACAUGCAAGUCGAACGGAGUGACGCACGGGUGAGUAAUGUAUAGCUAAUCUGCCCUACACUAGAGGACAACAGUUGGUAACGGCUGCUAAUACUCUAUAGUGUAGGAUGAGGCUAUAUUGUAUCAGCUAGUUGGUGAGGUAAUGGCUCACCCAGGCUAUGACGCAUAACUUGUCUGAGAGGAUGAUGAGGCACACUGGAACUGAGACACGGGCCAGACUCCUACGGGAGGCAGCAGUAGGGAAUAUUGCCCAAUGGGGGUAACCCUGAAGCAGCAACGCCGCGUGGAGGAUGACACGUGUCGGAGCGUAAACUCCUUUUGUUAGGGAAGCGGUACCUAACGAAUAAGCACCGGCUAACUCCGUGCCAGCAGCCGCGGUAAUUC
RNAcentral lists this ribosomal RNA (408 nucleotides) under uncultured bacterium. RNAcentral's name for it is "partial 16S ribosomal RNA". It matches the Rfam family "Bacterial small subunit ribosomal RNA", at positions 29 to 526 of the family's 1533-position model. The record is from RNAcentral.